GUUUUGAGCACUGAGGCAGAUCGAGUGAUUCAGGAGAAGAAAAAGCAGCUUUUCACUGUCAAACUGAACAGUGAAGUCACGUGACGGUACCACAACAGAACACAUCAGAUCAGGAGCAGUAAGGGCACCUCUGUGAGAUCUGUUAAUGAAGAUGUAAAUGUCAGCCGCUGGGAAGAGAAGUGCUUUGAAGCCAGUUACAGGCAGAUGCUGCUUAGCUUUAAUGGGCAACAAAUACAGGUGCCAUCAACCAGCCAGCAGAGGUUGUAAUUGCAUCAGUUAUGAGGAAUCCCCUCCGAACCCUCCCUGAACAACGAGCCGAUCAUUGUUCGUGUAGGUGCCCCCUGCUGGUAGCAGAGCUGAGAUUCAAACCAACGACUUGGAAAUGUUAGCUCUGAUGUGCUAGCGUGUUUUCCCUGUGUGUUCCAUGUCCCAUGAUGCCAUGUGGCCAGAGCCAAAAGUGGGUUUUGUGUUUAGAAUGGCAUUUUUGCUUUGUUAUGAUGUAUUUAAUGGUGUGUUUUGUGGUUGUGCUUAUGUUAAAUUUGUAAGUUACCGUUUUCGUAAAGUGUGUUGUGUGUGUUGAUGGCGUGUACCCGCUCUGCGCUUGUUUAGACAUAGCGGGUCUCCAUAGUGGUCUGUGUAUUUAGAUUUGUGCUAUGUAACUGAUUCAGAAGCAAAUGAAUAAAGAGCGCUGCCUCCUAUUUAGUUAAACAUCCUUGUAAAAAUAGAUGGCUGUAUCAUCCUCUUCAAAACAAACUCCUUUAGAUUUGCAUGCAUUUGCAUGAGAUAAGACAGAAAUAUUUCCUUCUGACCUACUUAAAGUGAAAUAAAGCAUCAGAGCACAUUCAUUAAAGUCAUCUGCCAUAAAUUUGAAGUCAUUAUUUCUGGCUUUCAUAUCAGUGCUCAGGAUUAUAUACGAUACAAAUCUGAUAGAUUGGAGCGUGUUACACACUUAUACACUUCCUAAUCAUCUUAAUCUUAAAUCCUCUUGAUAUUAGAAA
This is a long non-coding RNA of Trichomycterus rosablanca, 998 nucleotides long. RefSeq lists it as uncharacterized. The transcript is spliced from 4 exons. NCBI's taxonomy places the organism in Eukaryota, Metazoa, Chordata, Actinopteri, Siluriformes, Trichomycteridae. The record is from RefSeq and is a predicted model, not a curated record.